RNAcentral lists this ribosomal RNA (2364 nucleotides) under Enterobacter hormaechei. RNAcentral's name for it is "23S ribosomal RNA". It matches the Rfam family "Bacterial large subunit ribosomal RNA", at positions 585 to 2925 of the family's 2925-position model. Lineage: Bacteria; Pseudomonadati; Pseudomonadota; Gammaproteobacteria; Enterobacterales; Enterobacteriaceae. The record is from RNAcentral.
UUUAUGGGGUGACUGCGUACCUUUUGUAUAAUGGGUCAGCGACUUAUAUUCUGUAGCAAGGUUAACCGUAUAGGGGAGCCGAAGGGAAACCGAGUCUUAACUGGGCGUUAAGUUGCAGGGUAUAGACCCGAAACCCGGUGAUCUAGCCAUGGGCAGGUUGAAGGUUGGGUAACACUAACUGGAGGACCGAACCGACUAAUGUUGAAAAAUUAGCGGAUGACCUGUGGCUGGGGGUGAAAGGCCAAUCAAACCGGGAGAUAGCUGGUUCUCCCCGAAAGCUAUUUAGGUAGCGCCUCGUGAACUCAUCUUCGGGGGUAGAGCACUGUUUCGGCUAGGGGGCCAUCCCGGCUUACCAACCCGAUGCAAACUACGAAUACCGAAGAAUGUUAUCACGGGAGACACACGGCGGGUGCUAACGUCCGUCGUGAAGAGGGAAACAACCCAGACCGCCAGCUAAGGUCCCAAAGUCAUGGUUAAGUGGGAAACGAUGUGGGAAGGCACAGACAGCCAGGAUGUUGGCUUAGAAGCAGCCAUCAUUUAAAGAAAGCGUAAUAGCUCACUGGUCGAGUCGGCCUGCGCGGAAGAUGUAACGGGGCUAAACCAUGCACCGAAGCUGCGGCAGCGACACUUAUGUGUUGUUGGGUAGGGGAGCGUUCUGUAAGCCGUUGAAGGUGUGCUGUGAGGCAUGCUGGAGGUAUCAGAAGUGCGAAUGCUGACAUAAGUAACGAUAAAGCGGGUGAAAAGCCCGCUCGCCGGAAGACCAAGGGUUCCUGUCCAACGUUAAUCGGGGCAGGGUGAGUCGACCCCUAAGGCGAGGCCGAAAGGCGUAGUCGAUGGGAAACAGGUUAAUAUUCCUGUACUUGGUGUUACUGCGAAGGGGGGACGGAGAAGGCUAUGUCAGCCGGGCGACGGUUGUCCCGGUUUAAGCAUGUAGGCGGAGGUUCCAGGUAAAUCCGGUACCUUGUUAACGCUGAGGUGUGAUGACGAGGCACUACGGUGCUGAAGUGAUAAAUGCCCUGCUUCCAGGAAAAGCCUCUAAGCAUCAGGUAACACGAAAUCGUACCCCAAACCGACACAGGUGGUCAGGUAGAGAAUACCAAGGCGCUUGAGAGAACUCGGGUGAAGGAACUAGGCAAAAUGGUGCCGUAACUUCGGGAGAAGGCACGCUGAUGUGUAGGUGAAGCCCCUGCGGGUGGAGCUGAAAUCAGUCGAAGAUACCAGCUGGCUGCAACUGUUUAUUAAAAACACAGCACUGUGCAAACACGAAAGUGGACGUAUACGGUGUGACGCCUGCCCGGUGCCGGAAGGUUAAUUGAUGGGGUUAGCGGCAACGCGAAGCUCUUGAUCGAAGCCCCGGUAAACGGCGGCCGUAACUAUAACGGUCCUAAGGUAGCGAAAUUCCUUGUCGGGUAAGUUCCGACCUGCACGAAUGGCGUAAUGAUGGCCAGGCUGUCUCCACCCGAGACUCAGUGAAAUUGAACUCGCUGUGAAGAUGCAGUGUACCCGCGGCAAGACGGAAAGACCCCGUGAACCUUUACUAUAGCUUGACACUGAACACUGGUCCUUGAUGUGUAGGAUAGGUGGGAGGCUUUGAAGCGUGGACGCCAGUCUGCGUGGAGCCAACCUUGAAAUACCACCCUUUAAUGGCUGGUGUUCUAACGUAGACCCGUAAUCCGGGUUGCGGACAGUGUCUGGUGGGUAGUUUGACUGGGGCGGUCUCCUCCCAAAGAGUAACGGAGGAGCACGAAGGUUGGCUAAUCCUGGUCGGACAUCAGGAGGUUAGUGCAAUGGCAUAAGCCAGCUUGACUGCGAGCGUGACGGCGCGAGCAGGUGCGAAAGCAGGUCAUAGUGAUCCGGUGGUUCUGAAUGGAAGGGCCAUCGCUCAACGGAUAAAAGGUACUCCGGGGAUAACAGGCUGAUACCGCCCAAGAGUUCAUAUCGACGGCGGUGUUUGGCACCUCGAUGUCGGCUCAUCACAUCCUGGGGCUGAAGUAGGUCCCAAGGGUAUGGCUGUUCGCCAUUUAAAGUGGUACGCGAGCUGGGUUUAGAACGUCGUGAGACAGUUCGGUCCCUAUCUGCCGUGGGCGCUGGAGAAUUGAGGGGGGCUGCUCCUAGUACGAGAGGACCGGAGUGGACGCAUCACUGGUGUUCGGGUUGUCAUGCCAAUGGCACUGCCCGGUAGCUAAAUGCGGAAGAGAUAAGUGCUGAAAGCAUCUAAGCACGAAACUUGCCCCGAGAUGAGUUCUCCCUGAGACUUUAAGUCUCCUGAAGGAACGUUGAAGACGACGACGUUGAUAGGUCGGGUGUGUAAGCGCAGCGAUGCGUUGAGCUAACCGAUACUAAUGAACCGUGAGGCUUAACCUU